Macrobrachium nipponense is the source of this 1532-nucleotide long non-coding RNA. RefSeq lists it as uncharacterized. The record is from RefSeq and is a predicted model, not a curated record. The transcript is spliced from 2 exons. NCBI's taxonomy places the organism in Eukaryota, Metazoa, Arthropoda, Malacostraca, Decapoda, Palaemonidae.
AUUUUAACAUGCUCAUCCUCUUCUCUUACCUCUCAUUUUCGUUUAUCAAUCUUUACUACAGCAUCUUACAUUUGCCACCUGACCGCUAAAUAGGGGAGAAGUUUAAGUAUUAUUGGCAGCCCGGUCUUGCCAUACGGUAGUCUGGACACAAUUUUUAUUAUUAUAAUAUAAACAAAGUCAGAGCACUAAAAUAAUUCUGCACAACAAAGUUCGUACAACUAAGCUCAACUUGAAAGCCUACCUUUGAAAAUUCGAUUAUUUUCAAUUCUCAGGAAAAAAAAUGUAAAAAUUAAUCUCGGUCUUAUGGCAACACCUACGGCCUCAUCUAUUUCCCCCUUGGCCACGACCAUGACCAUUAUAAGUGAAAACAUCGUAAAAUCUGCAUUUGGUAUUCAUCACUUGCGAAUACACUUGAAGUAAGCACCAAUUUUCUAGAAAAUUAAAAAUACUUUUAAAUAUCAGCGAAUUACUAUGAUUCUCCAUACACUGAAGGACACCGAAGUUCAUGUCAGCAAUCAACGUUCGAACACGCGCUUCAUCUGUCCUGGUGGUUCGCUCGAUACUCAAACGGACAAGCGUGGUCUCUUUUGUUGUAAUGGUGUCGAUCGUGCUUUUGAAGAAAUCCCAACAUCUCUUCCAAUUUAGACGAUUUUUAAGAACAAGUGCGCCACGAAAAACGUAAGCGGUGUUACAAGUAUGUCUAAGGAGCAGCAAAUGGAAAAAAAUCGGUUGAAAUACAACAGUUUCUUUAGGAUAAUGUGGAAUUCAAGAUGAUAAUGAUAGAAGGGGACUGCCGAGUUCAAGCCAUGAGAGGCGUUGCCAGUUAAUAUAUAGUAAACAAGAAUUUCUGCUGUCAAGUUGAUUCACCCAGAAUGAUUUUUUCAGAGGAGUAGUGAAACGAUGUGUUUUACUCAUUUUCAAAAAUCAACCGGAUUAACGUAUGUGCAAACUGUGGUUACAAAAUCUACAAAUAAGCAAACGUGAAGUUUGUUCGUGGACGAGUGGACGGCGCCCGUGCCGUAGUUUCUAGAUACCACCAUUGAACAGAACUCUCCUGCAUUUACCAGAAUUGCAGUGAGGAGCUAACAUUCCUAAUCCUUAAGUAAAAGAAAAAAAAAUCCUAAAUGUUUGCGUUUAGCAGUAUAAAUGCCUUCAUUUUUAAGUACGUGUCCAUACACGAUGUGAAACUUUACCAAAAUAUGAUCCGGUAUCUUUCCACAUUUAUUAAACAAACACAAGCGCAUUACCCGCUGUCUGAUUCCAACGCGCAUUUGCAUUACACAUUUAUUCACAGCGUACAGCAACCAGGAUAUGUUCAAACGUGAUCUACUUUACAUGGCAAAAAUGAGCGUAUAUGACAGGGCAUUCUCCAGCUCCAAGAUGAACUCCAACGUGUCUAGUGGUAACAAAAGCCGAUUAAACGAGAAGGACGAAGCAAAUCUUGGGCUUUAAGAACACAAAAGCUUGGCACAGAAUUCUCUUCCAUGAAACAAGCUGUAAAAAUUGUAUGCAAAUAAAUAUCCCCAAACGUA